This 1413-nucleotide ribosomal RNA is filed under the name metagenome. Its description in RNAcentral is "bacterial SSU rRNA". It matches the Rfam family "Archaeal small subunit ribosomal RNA". The record is from RNAcentral.
UCCGGCUGAUCCUGCCGGAGGUCACUGCUAUUCGGAUAUGGCUAAGCCAUGCAAGUUAUGGGUUAAACCAUAGCGUAAAGCUCAGUAACACGUAGUUAACCUGCCCUUAGGUCUGUCAUAAUCUCGGGAAACUGAGGCUAACGUCAGAUAGGCAAUAAAAUCUGGAAUGAUUUAUUGCUGAACUAAGGAUGGGACUGCGGAAGAUUAGCUUGUUGUCAGGAUAAAAACCUGACAAGGCGAUAAUCUUUACGAGCCUUGAGAGAGGAAGCUCGGAGAUGGAUUCUGAGACAACAAUCCAGGUCCUACGGGACGCAGCAGGCGCGAAACUUUCCCAAUGCACGCAAGUGUGAGGAAGAUAUCUGAAGUGCUCUCUCUUAGGAGGGGGCUUUUCUGGAGUCCAGAACGCUCCAGGAAUAAGGGGUGGGUAAGACGGGUGCCAGCCGCCGCGGUAAUACCCGCGCCCCAAGUGGUGACCGCGUUUAUUGGGCUUAAAGCGUUCGUAGCCGGUUUUGCAAGUUCCCAGUGAAAUCGAUUGGUAAACCAAUCGGCUGGCUGGGGAUACUGCAUUGCUUGGAACCGGGAGAGGUUAGAGGUACUCCAGGGGUAAGGGUAAAAUCUUAUAAUCCCUGGGGGACCACCUGUGGCGAAGGCGUCUAACUAGAACGGAUUCGACGGUGAGGGACGAAAGCUAGGGGAGCGAACCGGAUUAGAUACCCGGGUAGUCCUAGCUGUAAACUAUGCCCACUAGACAUCGGAAAUCUUACGGGGGUUUCCGGAGUCGUAGGGAAACCGUUAAGUGGGCCGCCUGGGGAGUACGGUCGCAAGGCUGAAACUUAAGGGAAUUGGCGGGGGAGCACACAAGGGGUGGAGGCUGCGGUUCAAUUCGACUCAACGCGGGGAACCUUACCAGAGGCGACAGCAGUAUGAAGGUCAGACUUAAGAUCUUACCAGACACGCUGAGAAGUAGUGCAUGGCCGUCGUCAGUUCGUGCCGUGAGGUGUCGUCUUAAGUGACGUAACGAACAAGACCCACGCUCAAUGUUGCUAACCAAUUCUAUUGGUGCACUCAUUGAGGACCGCUGACGAUAAGUCCGAGGAAGGUGUGGUCGACGGCAGGUCCGUAUGCCCUGAAUCCUCUGGGAUACACGCGGCCUACAAUGGAUGGUACAAUGAGAUGCGACACCGAAAGGUGAAGCUAAUCUCGAAAACCAUCCCCAGUUCAGAUCGAGGGUUGCAACUCACCCUCGUGAAGCCGAAACCCCUAGUAGUCGCUGGUUAGCAUCUAGCGGCGAAUACGUUCCUGCUCCUUGCACACACUGCCCGUCAAGCCAUCCGAGUGAAGUCUUGGUGAGGUUUUUUCUUCGGAAACGAUCGAACCAGGUUUUUGCAAGGAGGGCUAAGUCGUAACAAGGUA